Long non-coding RNA from Humulus lupulus (European hop), 1517 nucleotides. RefSeq lists it as uncharacterized. The transcript is spliced from 2 exons. The record is from RefSeq and is a predicted model, not a curated record. Lineage: Eukaryota; Viridiplantae; Streptophyta; Magnoliopsida; Rosales; Cannabaceae.
UGGAAUAGUCUACAUGCAUAGACUAGAUUUUAAAAUAUCUAUGAGGACACCUUGUAUAGUUUUAAUAUUGUUUUGCAGAAAUGAAUUAAAACAAGAACAAAUAAUAUGUACAAACUUGAAUUCACUAAUUUCUUAUGUAAUAGGUGAGGAAUCUAUUCUCUGAUAAUUGUUAUACACAGAUAAAUUAUUUUUUGAAAUUAUCAAAUGAGAAAUGUGAGAAAUUUGUUAGUAGGAGGAAAAAGUAGGUGAUAAAUUUUGUAGUUGGGUAUGCAUGAAUUGUAUUGAGUGAGAUUAACUUAUGGAGAGUACAGAUCUCUCGAAUACAUCACUACAAAGAUAGUGAUAUUCUGCAUAUUGAGCCAAUAAAACCAACUCCAGUUGAGUCUACACUGUUCAAGUUUGUAGAGGAAGUAAAAGAUUUAAAGAACCUAGCUGCUAAGCUGCGUGCUGUAAAUGAAUUUGCAGUAAGAUAUUACUAAAGCCAUUCAAGACUGUUUGCUUUGUCUUUGUGGCAAAGUUGCAGUUUCAUUUUCUUCUUUGUGGAUGAUCUGUUUCUUGAAUUGGAGAAUGAAGGAUCCUUUGAAAUGGAUUUGAUAUGAACAAUGUUGAAUUAUAGAAAACUAAACAUUUUAAAGUGUAAGCAUUUACCGCUCAUGAUAUAAUACGAAACUCAUACUUAAGUGUAAGCCUUUUCGCUUAUGGUCUAUUAUGAAACUCGAUACUUAAAUUGUUAUUAUCGAUAAUGUAUCAUAUAUUUUCUUUCUUGUUUUUCAUGUAAACCUUUGAUCACAACAAUGAUUUUGCUGAAGUUGGCAUUUUUUUCACCAUUAGCUUUCAUGUUGUGAUCCUCCCCAUCAUUCAAGAUGUUUUCAGUCAAUUUUCUACUUUUGACAAACCAAGCCCCCCAUCAAAAAAUGAGAAAAAAAAAAAAAUUCUAAUAUAUGCUAAUGUUGUUCUUUUUAACUUUGAUUUUUCUUAUCUAGAUUGAUUUGGAACAUAAUCAAUAUAUCGUUCUUUUCAAGGAUUGACUUGUUUGAUAGAAAUCUAACCAAGAACUGAAGAUUUUGUAAUAGAUGCUCUGAAGCUCUGAAUUCAUAUUGGUCCAUAUCUUAGAGAAGUUUUCAAGGACCCAACAAAGAGAAAGGUGAUGCAUGGAGUAGACUGUGAUAUUUUUUGGCUUCAAAGAGAUUUUGGCAUUUUCAUCUGCAAUAUGUUUGACACCGGCCAGGUAUUGUACUAUAAAAAUUACUGGUAUUUGGAGUGAAUUUUAGUUGCUCUUUCUGGAGAUUGAUUAAUAUGUAUAAUUUCUACACAUGGAGAAGUAGUUUCUUAUUUUCAUUGGUAUCUUAGCCUCAACAUUUUGUUUCAUUUUCGUUCUUUUGGGAUAUUUGGUGUACAUACUUUCAGUGGUGGUUCCAGCUUUUUGUUAAUUAUGCUAUUUAUUAUUAUGAUUUUUUCCUAAACAUUCCAAGACAAGGAAGUGAUGCAUCUAAUAUAAUAACUAUUUGUGAUCAUAA